This 474-nucleotide ribosomal RNA is filed under the name uncultured organism. Its description in RNAcentral is "partial 16S ribosomal RNA". It matches the Rfam family "Bacterial small subunit ribosomal RNA", at positions 334 to 799 of the family's 1533-position model. The record is from RNAcentral.
CACUCCUGCGGGAGGCAGCAGUGGGGAAUAUUGCACAAUGGGCGCAAGCCUGAUGCAGCCAUGCCGCGUGUGUGAAGAAGGCCUUCGGGUUGUAAAGCACUUUCAGCGGGGAGGAAGGCGAUACGGUUAAUAACCGUGUUGAUUGACGUUACCCGCAGAAGAAGCACCGGCUAACUCCGUGCCAGCAGCCGCGGUAAUACGGAGGGUGCAAGCGUUAAUCGGAAUUACUGGGCGUAAAGCGCACGCAGGCGGUCUGUCAAGUCGGAUGUGAAAUCCCCGGGCUCAACCUGGGAACUGCAUUCGAAACUGGCAGGCUUGAGUCUUGUAGAGGGGGGUAGAAUUCCAGGUGUAGCGGUGAAAUGCGUAGAGAUCUGGAGGAAUACCGGUGGCGAAGGCGGCCCCCUGGACAAAGACUGACGCUCAGGUGCGAAAGCGUGGGGAGCAAACAGGAUUAGAUACCCGUGUAGUCCCAUG